AUCGAUGGUUCAAGUUCCCGACGUAAACACUCCUGUCGAGACCCCAUCUCCUGCUUCGCUGGAGGAUGAGGCGGCAGCACUG
Molecule: transfer RNA, 82 nt
Filed under: Synechococcus sp. CC9902
Lineage: Bacteria; Bacillati; Cyanobacteriota; Cyanophyceae; Synechococcales; Synechococcaceae
Description: tRNA-Leu
Source: RNAcentral